RNAcentral lists this ribosomal RNA (468 nucleotides) under uncultured bacterium. Its description in RNAcentral is "partial 16S ribosomal RNA". It matches the Rfam family "Bacterial small subunit ribosomal RNA", at positions 28 to 507 of the family's 1533-position model. The record is from RNAcentral.
GACGAACGCUGGCGGCGUGCUUAACACAUGCAAGUCGAACGGAAAGGCCCUGCUUUUGUGGGGUGCUCGAGUGGCGAACGGGUGAGUAACCCGUGAGUAACCUGCCCUUGACUUUGGGAUAACUUCAGGAAACUGGGGCUAAUACCGGAUAGGAGCUCCUGCUGCAUGGUGGGGGUUGGAAAGUUUCGGCGGUUGGGGAUGGACUCGCGGCUUAUCAGCUUGUUGGUGGGGUAGUGGCUUACCAAGGCUUUGACGGGUAGCCGGCCUGAGAGGGUGACCGGCCACAUGGGGACUGAGAUACGGCCCAGACUCCUACGGGAGGCAGCAGUGGGGAAUAUUGCACAAUGGGCGGAAGCCUGAUGCAGCAACGCCGCGUGCGGGAUGACGGCCUUCGGGUUGUAAACCGCCUUCGCCUGUGACGAAGCGUGAGUGACGGUAAUGGGUAAAGAAGCACCGGCUAACUACGUG